GGUCCUAUAAACUCACUAUAUAAUAUGAUAUAGUGAUCACAAUCUGUAAAACAGUAAGACAAUAUGAGUAAUUGGAAUUAAUAAAUUCUUAUAUUCACAAAGCUUUGAAGGUUACAAAAACUCUCUCAGUGAUUUAUAUUGUAUCACUAAGAGCUGCUAGGGUUCUUAACAAUAUACUCGAUAACUCAACUCCUAUAGAGUAACCCUAAUCUGUGUUUAUAUAGACACAGUUACAAAAUCAAUCUCUGAUUUGAUAUCCUAUAAAUCAGCUAAUAAUUCUAUCAAUCAAAGAUUGCUCCAGUUUUCUGUUUAGUUUCCAUAGUCAGCAAAUCACUCCUCAGCUUCUAUCCUUCCUUGAAGUAUAUCCGCUUCUGAGCUCUUUCCACG
This 387-nucleotide long non-coding RNA is filed under the name Daucus carota (carrot). RNAcentral's name for it is "long non-coding RNA (DCAR_LNC007327)". The record is from RNAcentral. Lineage: Eukaryota; Viridiplantae; Streptophyta; Magnoliopsida; Apiales; Apiaceae.